CCUACGGGAGGCAGCAGUGGGGAAUAUUGCACAAUGGGGGAAACCCUGAUGCAGCGACGCCGCGUGAGUGAAGAAGUAAUUCGUUAUGUAAAGCUCUAUCAGCAGGGAAGAAAAUGACGGUACCUGAGUAAGAAGCCCCGGCUAACUACGUGCCAGCAGCCGCGGUAAGACGUAGGGGGCAAGCGUUAUCCGGAUUUACUGGGUGUAAAGGGAGCGUAGACGGCAGUGCAAGUCUGGAGGGAAAGGCGGGGGCUCAACCCCCGGACUGCUCUGGAAACUGUACGGCUGGAGUGCAGGAGAGGUAAGUGGAAUUCCUAGUGUAGCGGUGAAAUGCGUAGAUAUUAGGAGGAACACCAGUGGCGAAGGCGGCUUACUGGACUGUAACUGACGUUGAGGCUCGAAAGCGUGGGGAGCAAACAGGAUUAGAUACCCUUGUAGUC
Molecule: ribosomal RNA, 440 nt
Filed under: uncultured bacterium
Lineage: Bacteria
Description: partial 16S ribosomal RNA
Rfam family: Bacterial small subunit ribosomal RNA
Source: RNAcentral